GAAACUUCUUUUAAGAGGGGUAGAUUGUAAUCCCCCGUAAUUUUAUACAUUUUAUUAAUAUAUUUUAACGUAUAGUUAAUUAUAUUUAAAUAGAAUUUACGAAUUUUAGAAAUAAAUAUUUAAGUUACGAAUAUUUAUUUUUAUACGUUUUAAAUAUUUCAACGAUUUAUGAAACUAAAAUAAUUUUAGAAUUUUAUGUUGAAAAAAAUUUGAAUUACGAAAACACGUGAAUUUAGAAAAUAAUCCUUUUGGAUUCAAACACUAAAAUUCAUUCCUAAUUCUAGACCAACUUGGUAAGCCCAAAAUAAAUAAGCCCAUAAUUCCCCACCCUUGUUUUGUUUCACGUGAAACUCAACUCCUCCUUGCUUCAAUUUCACGUGAAACCAAAAACACCAAAACCCUCAAACCUUGCUUCCUCAUUCACGUGAACUUGUUGCUCGUCUCCUUGGUUGUUUCAGCGCCGCCGGACCACCGUAGCUGCGCCACCAGUCCUCCUCCGCGUCGCCGCCGCCGCGCAACCACCGGCGAGUACACCUGACCGCCGUCGACCGUGCCUGCGGUCGUGCCCAGCCGCCGGCAACCCUUGCUUCUCGCACUCCCCUAUUCGUUGCUUCUUGCUUUCUGCCUCACAAGCAAAACAGUCCCUGCACAACCACCGCGGCCACCAACACUGUCGCCCAUUCCCGCGACCACCUGCCUUGUCGCCGCCGUCCCUCCUCCGGCCAGCACCCUUACUCCUCCUCUUUUUGGCGGAGAAUUCUUUGUAGGCGACUUUUGAAAGUGUUAAAGUGACCUAUUAUUUGUUUACACAAGUCCCUAAGGAUCAAUAAGCAUUGUCCAUCUGCAGGUUUGAAGAUGUUGCAUCAUUGGGAUCGGGAAUAGAGAGCUUGUAUUUUAGUUUUGAUUUGCUAAGUUGACUUGGGUUUGUUUAAUUGGACUUUAAACUUGUCGUACUAUUUAUAUUUCCUUAUUUUCGUUGGUUGAUUUUUGGGACUAAACCUGUAAUCGAUUAUUUAUAAACCUAAAGUUAGUUUUAUGUUUUCCGCUGCAAAAUUCUGAAUAAGCCGUUACGUUUUCACACGGGCGAUAAUGCCUUGAUAAUUCUCUACGUUUUAUAUUAAAAGGUUAUUUUAGAAAAGAAAGAAUUGUCGGGGUGUUACAAAGAAUUGUCGGGGUGUUACAUCUGAAUUGUUUGUAAGUUUGAAUGUGAAUUAAAGGUUUAUAUUUAUUUUAAAGAUUAUUCAUUCAAGGUUAUAUAAGGUUAUUUUGUGAGCCCAUAACCCACAGGUCCAGGAUCGAGUUUAAGAAUUAAGGUUAAUUAUUCCGCUGCGUGUUAAAGGUUAAUGGUGAUCAUUAAGGGUUAAGUGUUCUUUAUUAACAGCUCGAAAGAGCGGGCUGUUACACAAGGGGGCAAGUCAUGUAAAUAUUCGUGGUUUGCGAAUUCUGUGUUGCUUGCUUUGUUUUUGGAAAAAUGUGUUUGUU
Spinacia oleracea (spinach) is the source of this 1482-nucleotide long non-coding RNA. RefSeq lists it as uncharacterized. The record is from RefSeq and is a predicted model, not a curated record. Lineage: Eukaryota; Viridiplantae; Streptophyta; Magnoliopsida; Caryophyllales; Amaranthaceae. The transcript has 4 exons.